RNAcentral lists this long non-coding RNA (1187 nucleotides) under Homo sapiens (human). Its description in RNAcentral is "HSALNT0218192". The record is from RNAcentral. Lineage: Eukaryota; Metazoa; Chordata; Mammalia; Primates; Hominidae.
GCGGCCUUGGGUUUGGGCUCCAGCCCCAGCCGGGCCCCCUCGCGCCGCUGCGGCUGCUGCGCGGUGAGGUCGUGACAAGUCACAGCUAACUUGCCCUCCGCGCCAUUCCACGCCACCAGGAAGCGCAGCCGGUGCCUCUCGGCAUCGGCGAAGAGGCCUUGCCGGACCGGCGCCCAGCCCUCCAGGCUGUCGAGCUGCUCGUCCUCCAUGGCCGUCGGCGGCAGCGGCCCUAGGACUCGGCGGGCGCGGGCCUGACCUCGUCGCACUGCCUGUCAGGGGACAGUCCCAGGCUGGAGUGCAAUGGCAUGAUCUCGGCUCACUGCGACCUCUGCCUCUUGGGUUCAAGCGAUUUUCUUGCCUCAGCCUUCGCAGUAGCUGGGAUUACAGGUGCGCACCAACAUGCCUGGCUAGCAUAACUGAAGGUGAAAGGACAGAAUCACCGUGUGUUACUGGCACAGAUGCAUCGGCUAGUGAAGAAAGAAGACAUUCAAACUGUAAGUUGCAUUCACGUGGGAAGCACAAAGAAUUAAAUUCAAAACAAUGAAACAUUAGAGAAAAGCAUGGAGUUAAAACACAACAGAAUCAGAUGUUUACUAUUUCUCAUUUUAACACUAGUGCUUUGCGGGCUUCUAAUAAAGUUGUACUCCAGGAGGCUAAGACUGAAAAGUGACACUAGUGAAAAGUAGCAUUGAAAUAGUUCCUAGAAAAGUUGGGUGAAUGUGGGGCAAAGAUGCUACUAAACUUUAAUUUUCCAUCGACACACAAAUUCAAAGUUUUCCAGAACUGGCAAGUAAAAUGGAAGAUCCACUCACAGGACACAUGCAGUGUGUGAGGGGAAUGCUUUUCAGCACUUCUUGAUGGAUGCACAAAUAAUGCCAACGUGGUAAAUGUCUUUGGUAAAUGUGCAAUGGAAUGUAGUGGUUGUGUGAAGGAAGAAUUUUGUUUUCUGCUUCAUUUUUGAUAAACACAAGCAGCUCUGGACUGUGUGAAACCAUGGAGCACUGCACAGUUAACAGAGGUGGUUUGGAGUUUUUUAGCUUUGCAUAAGAGGAUGUUCUGAUGCAGAAUCUACAGUGACAGGAAACCAUUCUGGACAAGUUACAGAAUUAAGGGGCUUGUGCCGGGAUGGAAAUAAAUCAAUGACUUCUGUCUUUGAGAAGGUUUUUCUCUGCUCCUCUGUGAUGGUU